GUGGGGAAUCUUAGACAAUGGGCGCAAGCCUGAUCUAGCCAUGCCGCGUGAGCGAUGAAGGCCUUAGGGUUGUAAAGCUCUUUCAGCUGGGAAGAUAAUGACGGUACCAGCAGAAGAAGCCCCGGCUAACUCCGUGCCAGCAGCCGCGGUAAUACGGAGGGGGCUAGCGUUGUUCGGAAUUACUGGGCGUAAAGCGCACGUAGGCGGAUCAGAAAGUCAGAGGUGAAAUCCCAGGGCUCAACCUUGGAACUGCCUUUGAAACUCCUGAUCUUGAGGUCGAGAGAGGUGAGUGGAAUUCCGAGUGUAGAGGUGAAAUUCGUAGAUAUUCGGAGGAACACCAGUGGCGAAGGCGGCUCACUGGCUCGAUACUGACGCUGAGGUGCGAAAGCGUGGGGAGCAAACAGGAUUAGAAACCCGAGUAGUCC
This 425-nucleotide ribosomal RNA is filed under the name uncultured bacterium. Its description in RNAcentral is "bacterial SSU rRNA". It matches the Rfam family "Bacterial small subunit ribosomal RNA", at positions 354 to 796 of the family's 1533-position model. The record is from RNAcentral.